UAACUGUUUCACGAUAUGCCUACUUCUCAUUGCAAGGCAUAACAUAAAAAAUCACCCCACCACACUGUCUACAGCUGUUGCUUAUUUUGUCCACGUUUGUAGGCCUACUUGUGUAGGACUUAUCUCUCACGUUGUCCAGCUUCAGCUUUGCUAGGCGGAGACACGUGUGAAUAAACAAAUCCCCGUCAUCUUCUGAAGGCAGAUAUUUCCCUUCAGAAUAACUGUCAGCGAACAGAAGACCCAACACUUCAUUCCUGCCUACCAGCUCCACUUCCCUCCAAUGUAAUCCAACUCCCUCCAAUUUCCUCCAUCCAGCAGUUGCCAGAUUCUUAGAAAAACAUUUCAACAUGAUAUACUCUUUUUUCCAGAACCCAUAACCUGGCAAACGCUUAAAAAAUUACCUGGCAACCCCACGCAAGGAAGAAAGCCAGCGGAAGUUCAGUCGAUCGCAGAGACUUCGGUUGCAGAUUUACACCAUCAAUAUCAAGACCAUUUGCGCGUUGAACAAGGAAUAGAGGUAAGAUUCCCCCCCUUGGGUCAACCAAGAAACUGACAAACUAAAUGCAACAGUCAUUCAGACAGGGUGAUUGCAAGAUCUCAACAGUGGGAGUGUUUUUUUUUUUUUAUUAGGCUAUGAGAGGACUACAUUCCAUCACUGGGUAUGAUAAUGAUUAGCUUCAGUAACUUAGGUUACAUUAGACCUCCUAAACUUCUGUAUUGUCAGUUAUUUACUGUAUCUUACUGUUUAUUCCAGGAUGACUGGCCGUAAAAAAAAAGCCAAACCAGCAAAUGCCAAAAGUAGUAUCAUGCCUGAAGCCAUCACCAUUGAAUCCACCACCAUUGAAUCCACAAGUACUGGUGAAGUGUCACUCCACCAACACAAGAAAAGCUUGAGGAGCAAGAUAAAGACGUGGCAUGUAGUGUGGCAUGUAGUGAAUCAUCAGAUGACAUCCAGUCAUCAGCCAGCAAUGUUAGACAACAGAACAAGAGGCUGUUGUCAGAAAUAAAAACGCUACAGGAGAAGGUUGCCAUGUUAGAAAAUGAACGAGAUUUUCUGCGGACAACCCUUACCACGGCCAUGACAUCCACUGGAAAAAGCCAACCAAAGAAGAAUCAAGAUGAAAUGUCAUCUGGUUCUUCUGACUCUGAGAUUGGAUCAUCUUCGUCUUGUGCAAUUUUAUCAUCUGCAUCUUCCGAUGAUGAGCCGAAGAAGAAGAAAAAGAGGAAGACAAAGAAGAAGGAGGACCUGACCUGGUUUAGGAAUUUUGCUUUUACUUACUUGCUUUUUAUUUGAUUUAAAUGAAACCAUUUUCAAUAAUGUGGUAUACUUAAUGUUUAAAAGCUUGGAAUACCUUUACAGUACCCUUACAGUUUUCAGUACACAACUUACUGUGUUAUUUCCUGUCUCUGUCACAUGUACUGGUACUAGAUUGUGGUGUAAAAGCACUGAUGGAUGGUCCAAGACAUUAAAAACAUGACAUUCAAGUAAUACAUGAAAAUUCUUCACUUGUAUUGCUUAUUUUAAUGGAUUUGUUCCACUGUAUUAAAGAGUAUUAAGUGUGUACCAACACAGUUGAUACAUAUACUGUGUGGUGUAACAGCAGACACGUUUACAGUAUGCAUGACAUC
Molecule: long non-coding RNA, 1629 nt
Organism: Sardina pilchardus (European sardine)
Lineage: Eukaryota; Metazoa; Chordata; Actinopteri; Clupeiformes; Clupeidae
Exons: 5
Source: RefSeq, a predicted model, not a curated record